AUUGAACGCUGGCGGAAUGCUUUACACAUGCAAGUCGAGCGGCAGCACGGACUUCGGUCUGGUGGCGAGUGGCGAACGGGUGAGUAAUGUAUCGGAACGUGCCCAGUCGUGGGGGAUAACGUAGUGAAAAUUACGCUAAUACCGCAUACGAUCUAUGGAUGAAAGCGGGGGAUCGCAAGACCUCGCGCGAUUGGAGCGGCCGAUAUCAGAUUAGGUAGUCGGUGGGGUAAAGGCCACCAAGCCAACGAUCUGUAGCUGGUCUGAGAGGACGACCAGCCACACUGGAACUGAGACACGGUCCAGACUCCUACGGGAGGCAGCAGUGGGGAAUUUUGGACAAUGGGCGAAAGCCUGAUCCAGCCAUUCCGCGUGCAGGAUGAAGGCCCUCGGGUUGUAAACUGCUUUUGUACAGAACGAAAAGGUUUCUACUAAUACUAGGAGCUCAUGACGGUACUGUAAGAAUAAGCACCGGCUAACUACGUGCCAGCCGCCGCCGUAA
This 499-nucleotide ribosomal RNA is filed under the name uncultured bacterium. Its description in RNAcentral is "partial 16S ribosomal RNA". It matches the Rfam family "Bacterial small subunit ribosomal RNA", at positions 30 to 523 of the family's 1533-position model. The record is from RNAcentral.